UGCCAGACUCCUACGGGAGGCAGCAGUGGGGAAUAUUGCACAAUGGGGGAAACCCUGAUGCAGCGACGCCGCGUGAGUGAAGAAGUAUUUCGGUAUGUAAAGCUCUAUCAGCAGGGAAGAAAAUGACGGUACCUGACUAAGAAGCCCCGGCUAACUACGUGCCAGCAGCCGCGGUAAUACGUAGGUGGCAAGCGUUAUCCGGAUUUACUGGGUGUAAAGGGCGUGUAGGCGGGACUGCAAGUCAGAUGUGAAAUUCCAGGGCUCAACCUGGAGACUGCACUUGAAACUGGGUGUCUUGAGGGCAGGAGAGGAAAGUGGAAUUCCUAGUGUAGCGGUGAAAUGCGUAGAUAUUAGGAGGAACACCAGUGGCGAAGGCGACUUUCUGGACUGUACCUGACGCUGAGGCGCGAAAGCGUGGGUAGCGAACGGGAUUAGAUACCCGAGUA
Molecule: ribosomal RNA, 446 nt
Filed under: uncultured bacterium
Lineage: Bacteria
Description: bacterial SSU rRNA
Rfam family: Bacterial small subunit ribosomal RNA
Source: RNAcentral